UGGUACUGACACAGCCCUUGUCUCUGGUAU
RNAcentral lists this non-coding RNA (30 nucleotides) under Rattus norvegicus (Norway rat). Lineage: Eukaryota; Metazoa; Chordata; Mammalia; Rodentia; Muridae. The record is from RNAcentral.